RNAcentral lists this long non-coding RNA (269 nucleotides) under Mytilus galloprovincialis (Mediterranean mussel). The record is from RNAcentral. Lineage: Eukaryota; Metazoa; Mollusca; Bivalvia; Mytilida; Mytilidae.
GGGUAUAGAAAUAUGGUCAUUUGGUCUUCUCCCGACCGGCAGUAAAACGCUUGCCGAAGUGGGGCGUCCGUUUGGCUGUGCGGGAUGUAUCAAGUUCGCAGUCACGUCCGGUCAGAAGGGGGACGUUAAAUCCGAUGCCUCGUGUAAAGAGAGUGCUAAGAACCCUUGCAACAACUCUUUGAGGGGUCCGUAGGUGGCCUGUUGCAAGGCAAAAUUUCUGUCUCUAUCCUAUAUACCCUCAUUUUCCAGUGGCAGUCCAAAUUUCCCCG